Molecule: long non-coding RNA, 202 nt
Filed under: Hordeum vulgare
Lineage: Eukaryota; Viridiplantae; Streptophyta; Magnoliopsida; Poales; Poaceae
Description: long non-coding RNA (HVUL_LNC006604)
Source: RNAcentral
CUGCUCCAGAUCGAGCGACACCGAGCCAUCUUGUCAGCCUCCUUGCUCUCCGCUCAGGCCAGCGCUCGGCUGCGCAUGAAGGCUGCUGCUCCAGCCGAACAAGAUUGAUCUGGAUGGACACGGGUAAUGCCCGUGGCUGCUUCUCGUCGUUCCACCAAAGCGCUGCUGCCUUACGCCUGUGCCUCAUGCGUCCCUUUUGNNN